AAUGAACGUUGGUGGCGUGGAUUAGGCAUGCAAGUCGUGCGCGAAAGUCCCUUCGGGGACUGGAGAGCGGCGAACGGGGUAGUAAUGCGUCGGAACGUACCCUUGGGUCUGGGAUAACCGCGGGAAACUGCGGGUAAUACCGGAUGACCUCUUUGGAGCAAAGGUGAGACUCCGCCCGAGGAGCGGCCGACGUGAUACCAGCUAGUUGGUGAGGUAAUGGCUCACCAAGGCUCAGACGUCUAGGGGGUGUGAGAGCAUGGCCCCCACCACUGGGACUGAGACACUGCCCAGACACCUCCGGGUGGCGGCAGUCGAGAAUCUUCGGCAAUGGGGGAAAGCCUGACCGAGCGACGCCACGUGCGGGAUGACGGCCCUCGGGUUGUAAACCGCUGUCGAGGGGGAUGAAGUCAUUGGGAGCUAUCUCCCGAUGUUGACAGAGCCCUGGAGGAAGCGCGGGCUAAGUACGUGCCAGCAGCCGCCGUAA
Molecule: ribosomal RNA, 484 nt
Filed under: uncultured bacterium
Lineage: Bacteria
Description: partial 16S ribosomal RNA
Rfam family: Bacterial small subunit ribosomal RNA
Source: RNAcentral